This 74-nucleotide transfer RNA is filed under the name Bacillus phage vB_BanS-Thrax1. It matches the Rfam family "tRNA". Rfam says of the family: Transfer RNA (tRNA) molecules are approximately 80 nucleotides in length. Their secondary structure includes four short double-helical elements and three loops (D, anti-codon, and T loops). Lineage: Duplodnaviria; Heunggongvirae; Uroviricota; Caudoviricetes. The record is from Rfam by way of RNAcentral.
CAGGGUAUGGGGCAAUUUGGUAGCCUACCUCACUUGGAGCGAGGAUGUUGCAGGUUCAAGUCCUGCUACUCUGA